GACGAACGCUGGCGGCGGGCCUAACACAUGCAAGUCGAGCGGGGCAUAGCGAUAUGUUCAGCGGCGGACGGGUGAGCAACACGUGAGGAACCUGCCCUUCAGAGGGGAACAACACCGGGAAACCGGUGCUAAUACCGCAUGACGUCCCGAGGAGACAUCUUUUCGGGACCAAAGGAGAGAUCCGCUGAGGGAUGGCCUCGCGUCCGAUUAGCUGGUUGGCGGGGUAACGGCCCACCAAGGCUUCGAUCGGUAGCCGAACUGAGAGGUUGAUCGGCCACAUUGGGACUGAGACACGGCCCAGACUCCUACGGGAGGCAGCAGUGGGGAAUAUUGGGCAAUGGGGGGAACCCUGACCCAGCAACGCCGCGUGAAGGAUGAAGGCCUUCGGGUUGUAAACUUCUUUGACCGGGGACGAAAUCGAUGACGGUACCCGGAAAACAAGCCACGGCUAACUACGUG
This 459-nucleotide ribosomal RNA is filed under the name uncultured bacterium. Its description in RNAcentral is "bacterial SSU rRNA". It matches the Rfam family "Bacterial small subunit ribosomal RNA", at positions 28 to 507 of the family's 1533-position model. The record is from RNAcentral.